RNAcentral lists this long non-coding RNA (478 nucleotides) under Vombatus ursinus (common wombat). RNAcentral describes it as "lncRNA (ENSVURG00010023519.1)". Lineage: Eukaryota; Metazoa; Chordata; Mammalia; Diprotodontia; Vombatidae. The record is from RNAcentral.
GCAGGGGAGACCUCAUGGCCCAGAUCUUCCAAUUAAGGGGUGUCCUGACUAAGGAGUCAGUCCAGAGCCCCACCCCCAAGCCUGGUAUCUGUCAGAUUAUUUCCUGAGCCUGUCAGUGGGUUGGAGUGCCCAGGCCUUGUGUGCUGCUGUGGGGGAGGGUCUCAGACAUAUCGGCUAAACAUGGACAGCCUGGUUUUCUUGAAGGAGAAGACUCCAUAGCAGGAUGAAGCUCCCUGGGCUAAAACCCCCCAGCCUCAGGCAUCUCUGCCCCGGACACAUGUUUUAGGAUCCAUCCCAUCUGCGUUUCCCCACACUGCGGGCUUGUCCUUGGAACCCACUGAAGAAUCCUUCCUUGUGUGCAGCUGCCUUCUGGGGAAUGGUCCUGCUGACCCGAUGCUGGCGUGGAAAUGUUUCUCUCCUGCGACACAGCUCCAUCAUGAUUGCAGCAGGUCAUGAAGCAGAAGGAAGGCUCUGAGCU